CACCUUUAUGUCACUCACUGGGUCCCACAAAAAUCAAUUUGCAGAUCAGGUGUUCUGUGUUCAGAACGAUUACAAGCCUACCCGCGUUGUCUCUCUCUCUCCUCUUCACGCCCUUUCCACAACAAAACACUGUCCCCAACUUCACAAAACCCAAAAUGAAACACAAAUAUCAAACCUGUGUGCGCAAAAGCCCAGCAUCAUAAAUCGGAGUGAACUCUGGUUGGAAAAUACCCCAGUUCCUCUCAGCAUUUGGACCUGGCUUAAGGUUCUUGUUGGAAAAUACCACAGCAGCGUCUCAUGAUCUCACCUCCGAUCUUCAGCUCUCCAAACUCUCACUCCGCCAGUUGCGUUUCCGCCCCUCACUUCCCCGCCUCCACUGCGUUAGAUCCCUCCCUCAUCUCGAACUCCAGAAACCCACACGACAGAAUCCCAGAGUCCUAACUCUGAACACAACCCAGGUAUCCCACGUAGCUCAUCUUUCUCACCUUUAACUUGUAAACCCAUCGCGACACUGUGGGUUUGUUGAAGAGAAAUUUGGGAGCCCUCUGUUGCUAGUUGGUCCACCAGUGGGUUCAUGUCUUGUGUGUCCUUCACAAGAGUGCCUGAAGUUGUCUCUGAGGUUCAUCCAAUGGAGGGACAAUUGUGCCACUGGAUUACAGAGACACAUUCCUUUCACAUUAACAAACUCUGCUUUGGCAGUUCUUCUAUCCCAAUCACAGCUUGCAGGUCUGUUUAAUUUUUAAUUGUUUUGUCUUGAAAUUGGAAUGAGAGGUUAUUUAUCUCAAACAAGGGUGUUAUCUUUGGUGUUUACUGUAAUAGCAAAAAAGUUUGAAAUUAAAAAUUUAUUUGUAUGCAAUCAGGUCUACAUACUAGAAAUUGGUUUGAAGAGUUAUCUAACUAUUCUGUAAAUGGCAUCAAAGUAGGUAAUGGAACAUGGAAUGUGGGAGAUAUUGGUACUGAUUUCGCAUGUAAAUUAGUUAAUUUAUUCUAUUAUGCAGAGAAAAACACUUGACAUUGUUUAACAUAGUUCUUAAGAUCAUGAGUUACAACAUUAGAAAAACUCAAAUGUCUUUUAGGCUCUCAAAUAUUUAGUUGAGCUUAGCAAAAGUAGAUCAAGAUUUCAUUGACCAAAGUAGUCAAUACAAUCUGCACUAGUGUCAUCUCUUACUGCAUACAACUUGAUGAAAUUUUUUAGUAUGGUUAGCUAUGUGUUGAAUGACAGUGAAUAUGCCUUGUAGGGGUGGACGUUUCACCAUAAUGUUGGAGGCAAGUGCCAGUAGCUAUAACUCCAACUAUAGAGGGCAUGUGUAUGACAUGGAUUAGUGUGUGUUGCGGACAUCUUUGCAGCUCCAUAAUUUUGGUAGACGGUUUUAUGGCUGUAGACAUUGGAAGCCUAUAGGGCAGUGACGAACAUUGUAAGUUCUUUAAGUGGUUGGAUGGCAUCCCAUGUAGGCGUGGAGCUGAAACAGCACCGAUUGUCAUUGCGGAAUUUUCUAGGCUUGAGGCUGAGGCAGCUAUGGCAAAAAACAAUGAGAUGGAAGCUCGUGCAAUGAUAGCAAACCUACUCCACAGGGAAAGAGUAGCAAAAUACAGUGCUGAAAAAGCAAGGGUUUCCCUUUGUAUGGCCAAUGCGCGAGCACGUAAAUAUCAAAUUGCUCUACUUAUGUCAUGGUUGGCAGUUGUGGUGUUGUUUAUAUUUUCACUUGGUAAUAGGGAGGUUGGAUUAAGACAAAUGUGUCUGCCAUGAUUCUGAAUUUGGAUUAGUGGUUUGCAUAAUGAAAUUCUAUUAUGUGGUUGGCCAUGGAAAUGUAGUAGGUGUUGGGAGUGCCUUCUAGUGUAGGUGUUGGACCUGGCAACGUAUGUGUUGAAUGACAGACUUAUUGUAACCUUAUAUAUAACAUUGCUGUUUUGUAAUGGUAGCAUUCUUAUUUUUUGCCA
Quercus lobata is the source of this 1938-nucleotide long non-coding RNA. RefSeq lists it as uncharacterized. Lineage: Eukaryota; Viridiplantae; Streptophyta; Magnoliopsida; Fagales; Fagaceae. The transcript is spliced from 3 exons. The record is from RefSeq and is a predicted model, not a curated record.